Molecule: transfer RNA, 88 nt
Filed under: Actinoplanes couchii
Lineage: Bacteria; Bacillati; Actinomycetota; Actinomycetes; Micromonosporales; Micromonosporaceae
Description: tRNA-Arg
Source: RNAcentral
CGCGUCGUCGCUGAGCUGGCGGCUGCUGGCCCGGUACGGGCGGGCCGGAGUGGUCGGCGCGCUGCUCGGUUCGGUGCUGGCGACCGGC